AGCAACAGGAAAAGAAACUAAGAAAGAUGACUCUUUGUUCUUAGGGAGAGGGUAGUCCCGGUGGACAGAGCUGUUUGUUUUUAACGAUUCUCUCUUUGUUCCUGUUUUGAUUCCUCUACUCAGAAUAUAUUUUUCUGCCCUAAUGAUUUCUGGUAUGGCUGUGUGCCUCUCCUUGGUAGGGGAAUGUGAGUGGACAUUUACACGAUCAUCCAUGGAGAAGCAUUAAUUGAGCUAUGUGGACUGGCCUGUGUCUACCAAUCCUUGAUCUUCCAUCCCUUCUAUGAGAACCACAUUCCUGGAAUCAAGAGGGCUUCUAGAAUGUGAAGAAAUGUCCAUGACACAGAGCCCAAAAGAAGACCAUAGACAGGCCCAGCAUGAUCCUUCCCCCAACCUCAGUGAGCAAAGUGAUUCCAGAGACAGAAGCAGAAAUAUCGUAAGUUCAAGACCUGCCUGAGCUAUAGGCAGGGUGCCACCCACAGCCCGACCAGAUCUUCCCCCUCAGGAAUCCUUCCUGGGAAAACCCUCACACACACUCUCAAAGACAGACCUCACUGGUGCUCCGGACAUUUGUGAAUCGACUCAAGUUGACAAUCAAAAUUAAGCAUCACCAUUUAAAAACCUUUAAAAAG
Peromyscus eremicus (cactus mouse) is the source of this 629-nucleotide long non-coding RNA. RefSeq lists it as uncharacterized. The record is from RefSeq and is a predicted model, not a curated record. The transcript is spliced from 3 exons. Lineage: Eukaryota; Metazoa; Chordata; Mammalia; Rodentia; Cricetidae.